CCCUGCCCCACCUUUCAUUCAUUGAUAGCUUCGAGAAACUUUCAGGUUUCCUCACUGUGAAUUAUGAAUAUGAACUAUAUUAAAAUUACUGUAACCCAAUGUGCUUCAUGCACUAUCUGGCAUCCAAAGGAUCCUCUUUCGCCCAUGUUGGGGUUUUCGAAACUGGAAAGAAGACUGAUUUCUGCAGAGCAGCUUUCUAGAUGCAGCCCUGUUCACAUGUGACUGGUAUUUACCUUCUUUCAUCAAACAUGUCUUUAGAAUCGACUCAAGGCAAGAUGCAGUAGAGAAAUGUAAGAGCCAACUAGAGGAGCCAUUUAACUACUAGGUGCAUCUUCUCCAGCAAGUUCUUCAGCAUCCUUUCCAGAAGCAUUCGACAGCCAAGGAAGCAGGCUACGCCUCACCUACUCCUUCCUGGGCUAAAGAUCUCAGACUUAGUUGCUUAAUUUGGGAAAAAUAAAUUAAAGAAGUCUUCUAUCAUUAUACGCAACAUAGAAUAAUCUGUUUAAGAAAUUAUUUUUGAUCCUCCACAUUUUGAUGCCAAUCCCACAUUUGGUAAUAAUGAUUAUAUAUGCAAAUAUUUUUAGCCGAUUAAAUUGG
Molecule: long non-coding RNA, 597 nt
Filed under: Homo sapiens (human)
Lineage: Eukaryota; Metazoa; Chordata; Mammalia; Primates; Hominidae
Description: non-protein coding lnc-ABI1-3:1
Source: RNAcentral